Malaclemys terrapin pileata is the source of this 966-nucleotide long non-coding RNA. RefSeq lists it as uncharacterized. The transcript has 5 exons. The record is from RefSeq and is a predicted model, not a curated record. NCBI's taxonomy places the organism in Eukaryota, Metazoa, Chordata, Testudines, Emydidae.
CCGGCCGCCCCACGGCACUCGGGGCGUCCCCCGGCCAGACGGGCCGGGCCCGGCCCAGCCCCGCUCGCGGGAGGAGCCGGAGCCCCCAUCCCGUCACAGUCAUGCUUCCAGGAAAUCUAUGCUGAGUGACAAAUUCUCAUGUAGCGGAUGGAUUUGAAAAGAGACAACACUCCUGUUUAGUCCUAAUCUGUUCCAUUGCACUAUUUGCAAGGUGCUAUACUCGAGUAUUUAAGGUACCACAACUUCAAGGGCAUCCCGUGUGCUGAAUCACAUUCCUUCCAGCUCCCUCUGGUUGUCAGUGGACAAGGCCAGCUUGACAUUAUUCCGUAUCUUACAUCGACUUCCAUCAGCAACACAACAAAGUACUCCUGCCCAUACUGUCAGCCUGCUAAUGUUAGUGGACCAUCCAGAUAUCUAGAAUCAUGCAGGAAAAGUUGUACAGCAGAAUGGUCUAGCGACUCUUAUCACCAUCCAGACUGAGGACAAUAAAUAUGAAUGUAAUGUGAGAAGUCGGUAAUGGAGAAAAAUGUCCCAAAUGUGGCUUGGUUCCAAAGCCCCUACAGCAGGUUCUGUUUGCACCCACUGCAUUUUAAGGGUCCAACCAAAUUAAACAGUGUGCUUCUUCAGUCCUCCUCGUCCAUCAGGAAUGAAACAUCCCCUUCCUUCUCCCACCCCCAUACAGGAACUACAGGUGAAUACCCAGAACUUGUGAUGCCAGAAGCGAUGCACAGUCUUUCCAUCCCUCUUGUUCCUGUGGAACCAUUCUCCCCACCCUUCCAUCCACAAUUUGGCAGGAUGGAGCUCAACAGAGAUGCCUACUUAAAAUCAAAGGACAGCAGAUAUUCAUUAGCUGCCUAAUGUCCAGUAUUUAAGCUUGAGGGAGAAAUUAAAUAUUUCUUAUAAUGGAGGUAUCCACUGGCCAUCCCUGUAUGUUCAACUUUUCUUGAUAAACCUAAGUAGAUAUUA